Molecule: long non-coding RNA, 3168 nt
Organism: Carya illinoinensis
Lineage: Eukaryota; Viridiplantae; Streptophyta; Magnoliopsida; Fagales; Juglandaceae
Exons: 2
Source: RefSeq, a predicted model, not a curated record
CUGUCCCUCUUUCCCCCGUAAAAGGGUUACGUUUUUCCCUCGCCGCGACCAAAUACCCAGUGCCGCCGUGAAUCCGUCGGGCCUCGCGUCACAGCUGACACAGAGCUCGCCAUGCGUCGUCUCCUCUGCCGUCGCCUGGUAUCACCGUCACCGCAGAUAUAUUGGCUCCCCUCUCUCUAUCCCUCUUGUCUCUUUAUCUCUCUCUACGUGUAAUGCCUUAACCCUAGCAAUUUUCAUUUUUCGCAGAAACAGAGGACUUCUUGUGCCGCCCCCAUCCGCCCUAUAUUAACCACGGAUCCGUCUCUCUUUAUAAAACCCCUCUCUCACUCUAUCCCUCACUCUGUAAUGGCCUAACCCUAGCCAUUUUUUCAUCUGCCUAUAUAUAGAUUUUCAUCUGUGAUUUAUUUUUCGUAGACCAUUUUGCUUGUAGUAAUACUAGGCGUUGGUACUAUUGGGAUGCAAUUGCAGUAGACAAAAUCGAUUUUUUCAUUCCUUUAUGUCCAUGAAACUUGUCCCAAUGUUGCUGUGUUUGCUCUGUUUGCCGUGUUUGCUGUGUUUGGUUGGUGCUGUGCUUAGCUUGUGCUUUGAACUGUGUUAUGUUUCUCCCUAGUAGCUGUUUCAUUGGAUGACUCAUUUACAUGUUCUUUCUUCAUGAAGCAUACCUGUAAAUGCAAGCACAUGCUUCGAACAUCUUCUUCAUUCUCUUACUUUGUGCUUUCUGGUAUCGAUUAAGGAGGAAUUUUAUCCUUCUUUUUGGGAAAAUGUACUCUUCCUCACAACCCAAUGGUAUGAUAUUUUUAAUAACAUGGCUUUAUGAUAAACCGGCUCUUAAACCCCCUUCUCUUGUCCUGUUCAGAUGAUGAUGUAUCAUUUCAAUAAAUACACUCUCUUGUGAUAUCAUAGGAGAGAUUAUAUGGUGCUAUAAUGCUUCUGAGACUAACUGAAUUUGAGCUUUUAAAUUGUUAUAAAUUCCCUGUUAUAUUUCUUUUGUGAUCAUUUUCUGUUGACAAUCAAUACAAACUUCAUUAUAGUAAGGACUGCUGAAUUCCUGCUACGUAAACCACGUAUCAAAUCAAGCAUUUCUCCACGCCUAACUCUUUUAAUGAUAUACCUGAAAUGACAUGCCCUUAAUUGUUUAUCAGAGAAAAGGUUCACAUGCAAGAAAACCUUUUAAUGAUAUACCUGAAAUCACAUGCAAGAAAACUUUUAUAAUGAUAUACCUGCCCUUCGAGAUCCCAACACAUAACUGAUCCCCUUCUUAACUUCAAUUCGACCAAUAUGUGUACCUUCUAUCUUCAAACUUUUGAUUAGCCCCUUAUGACAUGUCUACUCUAUAGUGGUCAUUCGAGAAAAAUCCAAUAAAUAUAAUUAACAUCAAUAUAGAGUUUGAAGUGGUUGUAGGACCUACGCAAGAAUUUUUAUAUAAACUUUUAUAUCAGCUAAAAGUUUCUCCAGCGCGCGAUAUAGACAUUCAAUUUCAGCUUGUUGCCAUUAAUGUGAUUCCUGCGAUUUAGAUGUCUGACAAUUUAUUUUGUAUUAACUAAUGGAUAAUCAAUUUUUAUUAAUGAUUCUAAGCCAUUAAUAACCAGUAAACAAAUAAUAGUUUGCAAUAAUUUAGGCUGACUUUGUAUUACAAUGGGAGAAGUUAAAUCAUCGCAAGACGGUGUUGAACCAACUACGUAGGAGGUUUAAUUCUUUUCACUACGAGUUGCACAAGAUCUACACCAGCUAUGGAAGUCAUAAAAUGGCGUUGGCAAAAGGCACUGAUUUGGUGGAUGCAGAGGUGUGGAAGACUUUAUGCGAUAGGUGGGGUAGCAAGGACUUCUACUCUAUCCGUCUCAUGCUUUCAUUAUAGGGUUCUUGCCAACGUUGUUUUAGAGGUCACAAUGGCCCAGUCUCUAUCUUGUCCGAUAAAUUGUUAGGUGAGGUUGGUGGAAAAGUAUUGGCAAGUGGAGGUGAAGAUGCUACUGUUUGCCUUUGGUCCCUUAACUCUAGUUGCAAGUGUGGCCAGCAGGCGCUAAAGGCUACUCUGUAUGGGCAUGAAAAACCUGUGAAGUUAAUGUCAGUUGCUGGGUAUGAGUUUUCAAUGAUUAAAACUUAAUAAAUGUGACUUUAUUAUUUGAUGCUAAUUAUCUUUUAGGUUUUAAUAUUGUGCACCAAGUAAAAUGGAAUCUUUAUGUUGUGGGUGACCAUUUCUUGUUAUUAAACUGAUCUAUUCUUGUUUUCAUCAUUCUUCCGGGCAUAAAACUUCUCUUUUGGCGACCAUUUUGAAAAAUUCCAAGGUACCUCCAGUUCAUAUUAUUGCUGUUAUUGUUAAUGCUUGUAACAAUAAGCCAUUGGACUUGUUAUUUGGUCAGCUAUUUUAUUAUGCAUGUUAAGAUAUGGAACUAGUACUUAUUUAUGUCAUAGCUUCUGACAUACAUGACAUUUAAUCCUUCUUGAUCACCAUGUCAACACUACGUCAUUCUCUGUCUCUUUCUUGAUUUGUAUGAGCUCUCUGUUUACUUGAGUAAGAUGGUUGACCGAUCCCCAGGGAACAUGGGGGUAUCUCACCCUCAACUUAGGGGAAGAAGAUGAAUAAGCUUUGUUUUCAUUUUUGCUACAUUUGCUUUGAAUUUGGAAUGAAAAAAAUAUUGCAACCGUGUAGUAUUAGUCUUCAAGAUGAUGAGGUGUAGGAGCGGUACACGUUGAUUUUUAACGACUAAACAUGCAAACUCUGUUGAGAACCAUAAAUCUUCACAUGUAACUCUCUUUCUUGUGCCAGGAGAAUUCUAUGCUUUGCCUCCAAUUCCACAACUGUUUAAGCAGAUGUUAAUAUUCUUUGGUACUAAUUUUCUAGCAAUAUUCAAUGAAGUUUGUGAUUCAAGUUUUUAUCUCAUCUCUACAUAUGUUUUUGAGAUGAAAAUCUCCUUUGAGGGACAAGUUUUACCCAGCUAGAUAUUGAAAUGGCUUUCACGCCUUUGGAGGACAAUAUUUCUGCAAGUAUGUUGGACUUAAUGUGCUUUGUACUUUGGUGUGACUUGAGAAGUCUAAAGUUGCACAUGACAAAUAUAAUGUAGUUGCUUUAUGCAUUGUAAUAUAAUGUAAUUGCUUAGAAUAUAAAGCAAGUACUUUGUGUAAUUGUUUUAUGGAUUGUAAUAUAAUGUAAGAUGUGUAAUUUUUUUUUUU